CGCGGCCGCGGCCGCAACGAGGGCUUUCGCGCCGCUGUCGACCGCAGCUACGAGGCGCCGCUGACCAACGUGCGGGACCGCGUGGGGACUCUGCCGCUGGCGGCUGACGCCGAUUUUGUCACCUAUCUUGCGGACGAGGGGGCGGUGCCGGGCUUCGGCCGCGACCGAGCCGCCCGCCAGAGCUCCAUGAGCUCAGGUACUGUCGACACCAAGAAGGCGAAGCGACGCUCCGGCCUGCUGAAGAGACUCGGCAGUAUGUUCAGGUUCGGCCGGCACCGCAAGGGCGGUGAGGCGGCGGACGCGGCGCUGCGCCGGACGCCCGACGAGCCGCGCCAGCAGCAACAAGAGCUCAACAGGAUUGCGGCCUGGCGCCGAGCCGAGGACAUGCAGC
This 391-nucleotide long non-coding RNA is filed under the name Pollicipes pollicipes. Its description in RNAcentral is "uncharacterized LOC119113042". Lineage: Eukaryota; Metazoa; Arthropoda; Thecostraca; Pollicipedomorpha; Pollicipedidae. The record is from RNAcentral.